This 253-nucleotide ribosomal RNA is filed under the name uncultured bacterium. Its description in RNAcentral is "partial 16S ribosomal RNA". It matches the Rfam family "Bacterial small subunit ribosomal RNA", at positions 524 to 776 of the family's 1533-position model. The record is from RNAcentral.
UACGGAAGGGGCGAGCGUUGUUCGGAAUCAUUGGGCGUAAAGGGCGCGUAGGCGGCCAGAUAAGUCCGGUGUGAAAGUCAAAGGCUCAACCUUUGAAUGCCGCUGGAAACUGUCUGGCUAGAGUCCGGGAGAGGGAUGCGGAAUUCCAGGUGUAGCGGUGAAAUGCGUAGAUAUCUGGAGGAACACCAGUAGCGAAGGCGGCACUCUGGGCCGGUACUGACGCUGAGGAGCGAAAGCGUGGGGAGCGAACAGG